GGAGUCUGGUCCGUGUCUCAGUACCAGUGUGGGGGACCUUCCUCUCAGAACCCCUACUGAUCGUUGCCUCGGUGGGCCGUUACCCCGCCGACAAGCUAAUCAGACGCAUCCCCAUCCCAUAGCGGUGAACCUUUGCUCCUCGUCAGAUGCCAUCAAAGGAGAACAUAGAGCAUUAAUCCGACUUUCGCCGGGCUAUUCUCUACUGUGGGGAAGGUUGGAUACGCGUUACUCACCCGUGCGCCGGUCGCCAUCAUCGGUUGCAAGCAACCAACAUGCUGCCCCUCGACUUGCAUGUGUUAAGCCUGUAGCUAGCGUUCAUC
Molecule: ribosomal RNA, 320 nt
Filed under: uncultured Prevotella sp.
Lineage: Bacteria; Pseudomonadati; Bacteroidota; Bacteroidia; Bacteroidales; Prevotellaceae
Description: partial 16S ribosomal RNA
Source: RNAcentral